Molecule: ribosomal RNA, 482 nt
Filed under: uncultured bacterium
Lineage: Bacteria
Description: partial 16S ribosomal RNA
Rfam family: Bacterial small subunit ribosomal RNA
Source: RNAcentral
AUUGAACGCUGGCGGCAGGCCUAACACAUGCAAGUCGAGCGGAUGAAGGGAGCUUGCUCCUGGAUUCAGCGGCGGACGGGUGAGUAAUGCCUAGGAAUCUGCCUGGUAGUGGGGGAUAACGUCCGGAAACGGGCGCUAAUACCGCAUACGUCCUGAGGGAGAAAGUGGGGGAUCUUCGGACCUCACGCUAUCAGAUGAGCCUAGGUCGGAUUAGCUAGUUGGUGGGGUAAAGGCCUACCAAGGCGACGAUCCGUAACUGGUCUGAGAGGAUGAUCAGUCACACUGGAACUGAGACACGGUCCAGACUCCUACGGGAGGCAGCAGUGGGGAAUAUUGGACAAUGGGCGAAAGCCUGAUCCAGCCAUGCCGCGUGUGUGAAGAAGGUCUUCGGAUCGUAAAGCACUUUAAGUUGGGAGGAAGGGCAGUAAGUUAAUACCUUGCUGUUUUGACGUUACCAACAGAAUAAGCACCGGCUAACUUCG